AGUGAACGCUGGCGGUAGGCCUAACACAUGCAAGUCGAACGGCAGCACAGUAAGAGCUUGCUCUUACGGGUGGCGAGUGGCGGACGGGUGAGGAAUACAUCGGAAUCUACUUUUUCGUGGGGGAUAACGUAGGGAAACUUACGCUAAUACCGCAUACGACCUACGGGUGAAAGCAGGGGAUCUUCGGACCUUGCGCGAUUGAAUGAGCCGAUGUCGGAUUAGCUAGUUGGCGGGGUAAAGGCCCACCAAGGCGACGAUCCGUAGCUGGUCUGAGAGGAUGAUCAGCCACACUGGAACUGAGACACGGUCCAGACUCCUACGGGAGGCAGCAGUGGGGAAUAUUGGACAAUGGGCGCAAGCCUGAUCCAGCCAUACCGCGUGGGUGAAGUAGGCCUUCGGGUUGUAAAGCCCUUUUGUUGGGAAAGAAAAGCAGCAGGUUAAUACCCCGCUGUUCUGACGGUACCCAAAGAAUAAGCACCGGCUAACCUCGUG
This 492-nucleotide ribosomal RNA is filed under the name uncultured bacterium. RNAcentral describes it as "partial 16S ribosomal RNA". It matches the Rfam family "Bacterial small subunit ribosomal RNA", at positions 29 to 507 of the family's 1533-position model. The record is from RNAcentral.